This 212-nucleotide ribosomal RNA is filed under the name uncultured bacterium. Its description in RNAcentral is "partial 16S ribosomal RNA". It matches the Rfam family "Bacterial small subunit ribosomal RNA", at positions 1288 to 1500 of the family's 1533-position model. The record is from RNAcentral.
UCAGUUGGACUGCAGGCUGCAACUCGCCUGCACGAAGUUGGAAUUGCUAGUAAUCGUGGAUCAGCAUGCCACGGUGAAUACGUUCCCGGGUCUUGUACACACCGCCCGUCACACCAUGGGAGCCGGUAAUACCCGAAGUCAGUAGUCUAACCGCAAGGAGGACGCUGCCGAAGGUAGGAUUGGCGACUGGGGUGAAGUCGUAACAAGGUAAC